RNAcentral lists this ribosomal RNA (440 nucleotides) under uncultured bacterium. Its description in RNAcentral is "partial 16S ribosomal RNA". It matches the Rfam family "Bacterial small subunit ribosomal RNA", at positions 338 to 795 of the family's 1533-position model. The record is from RNAcentral.
CCUACGGGAGGCAGCAGUGGGGGAUAUUGCACAAUGGGGGGAACCCUGAUGCAGCGACGCCGCGUGGGUGAAGAAGCGCCUCGGCGCGUAAAGCCCUUUCAGCAGGGAAGAAAAUGACGGUACCUGAAGAAGAAGCCCCGGCUAACUACGUGCCAGCAGCCGCGGUAAUAGGUAGGGGGCAAGCGUUAUCCGGAUUUACUGGGUGGAAAGGGGGCGCAGACGGGGUUGCAAGCCAGAGGUGAAAGCCCGGGGCCCAACCCCGGGACUGCUCUUGGACAUGGGUGGGUGGAGUGCAGGAGGGGCAGGCGGAAUUCCUGGUGUAGCAGUGAAAUGCGUAGAUAUCAGGAGGAACACCGGUGGCGAAGGCGGCCUGCUGGACUGCAACUGACGUUGAGGCACGAAAGCGUGGGGAGCAAACAGGAUUAGAUACCCGAGUAGUC